RNAcentral lists this ribosomal RNA (203 nucleotides) under Serendipita vermifera. Its description in RNAcentral is "partial 28S ribosomal RNA". It matches the Rfam family "Eukaryotic large subunit ribosomal RNA", at positions 23 to 225 of the family's 3401-position model. Lineage: Eukaryota; Fungi; Basidiomycota; Agaricomycetes; Sebacinales; Serendipitaceae. The record is from RNAcentral.
ACCCGCUGAACUUAAGCAUAUCAAUAAGCGGAGGAAAAGAAACUAACAAGGAUUCCCCUAGUAACGGCGAGUGAAGAGGGAAAAGCUCAAAUUUUGAAUCUGGUGUCUUUGACUCCCGAGUUGUAAUCUAGAGAAGUGUUUUCCGUGUCGGACCGUGUACAAGUUCCCUGGAACGGGGCGUCAUAGAGGGUGAGAAUCCCGUA